RNAcentral lists this transfer RNA (73 nucleotides) under Actinomycetota bacterium. Its description in RNAcentral is "tRNA-Thr". It matches the Rfam family "tRNA". Rfam says of the family: Transfer RNA (tRNA) molecules are approximately 80 nucleotides in length. Their secondary structure includes four short double-helical elements and three loops (D, anti-codon, and T loops). The record is from RNAcentral. Lineage: Bacteria; Bacillati; Actinomycetota.
GCCGGGUUAGCUCAGCUGGUAGAGCGCUUCUCUUGUAAAGAAGAUGUCCGGGGUUCAAAUCCCCGACCCGGCU